Molecule: long non-coding RNA, 905 nt
Filed under: Homo sapiens (human)
Lineage: Eukaryota; Metazoa; Chordata; Mammalia; Primates; Hominidae
Description: HSALNT0381631
Source: RNAcentral
CCAGCCUCAGGAUUAGGUGAACUUGUUGGAAGCGCUGGCUGCUUUUCCAUCUCCGUCCCCGGGAGCUUUUCCAUCUCCUUAAACUCUAGUAGAAGCUGCAGCUGUGAGAACUGCCAGUGGGCCUCAGGGGAACACAAGGCCUCUGGAGGGGCUUCACACCAGCUUCCCUCACCCCUCUUUCCUGCUGAGAUCCCCAUCUUCUCAACCAUCCCCCAUACAGUUUUCUAAGAAAGCCAGAGGAGGAAAUUAUCAUGAAAAAGAGAAUUGAGGUGGACUUGUCUGCCGGGCCAUUUCCUUCCCACCUAAGCUCCUGCCAGAUGGCUCCCAGUUGCUGUGUUUGAGCCCAGGCUGACCACUUCCUAGGCAGUGGCGUUGGAGAUGGGUGUGGCCUUGCCUCCAGGAUCUCCUCACAGCUUGUGCUUCCUGACAGCUGUGGACACUUGGGCUGACUGCAGACCUCCCGCUACCCUGAUUUCCAGCAAGAAAGAACUAUUCCUUCCAGCCCAGAACACUGUCUCUGAACAGCAAGAUGGCUUUGAAACGCUUUCACAACGAAGCAAUACUUCCAAUUUGUUAAGCACAUGUGACUCAGCCACACCAUGGAACUCACUAGGAUUGAAGGUCUGCCUCAAGCAACUUAUUCCAGUUCUCUGGCUACGUUUGCUGUAUGCCCUAUACAUCUUAUUUCUACAGGAAUGGCAGUUUGGGGCAUUUGAAAAAGUUGAAGUUCCCUGUUGCAUGUCCUUGGUCCCCAAAUCCAAGGAUUGUAAUUGUCCCCAGACUGUAUUGCUUGCAGAAAGAUAGGACACAGUAUUUGAAACCAAUGGGCUAAAUUUUGCUAAAUAACAUCUUGUUUUAUUUAUUCACAAAUAAAAAUAAUUUUGAGAUACUCUAUAAAUAAUUUU